ACUCCUACGGGAGGCAGCAGUGGGGAAUAUUGCACAAUGGGGGAAACCCUGAUGCAGCCAUGCCGCGUGUGUGAAGAAGGCCUUCGGGUUGUAAAGCACUUUCAGCGAGGAGGAAAGGUUGGUAGCGAAUAACUGCCAGCUGUGACGUUACUCGCAGAAGAAGCACCGGCUAACUCCGUGCCAGCAGCCGCGGUAAUACA
Molecule: ribosomal RNA, 200 nt
Filed under: uncultured bacterium
Lineage: Bacteria
Description: partial 16S ribosomal RNA
Rfam family: Bacterial small subunit ribosomal RNA
Source: RNAcentral